RNAcentral lists this ribosomal RNA (383 nucleotides) under Streptococcus sp. oral taxon A04. Its description in RNAcentral is "bacterial SSU rRNA". It matches the Rfam family "Bacterial small subunit ribosomal RNA", at positions 109 to 477 of the family's 1533-position model. Lineage: Bacteria; Bacillati; Bacillota; Bacilli; Lactobacillales; Streptococcaceae. The record is from RNAcentral.
AGUAACGCGUAGGUAACCUGCCUUCUUAAGCGGGGGAUAACUAUUGGAAACGAUAGCUAAUACCGCAUAAAAGUCGAUAUCGCAUGAUAUUGAUUUGAAAGGUGCAAAUGCAUCACUAAGAGAUGGACCUGCGUUGUAUUAGCUAGUUGGUGAGGUAACGGCUCACCAAGGCGACGAUACAUAGCCGACCUGAGAGGGUGAUCGGCCACACUGGGACUGAGACACGGCCCAGACUCCUACGGGAGGCAGCAGUAGGGAAUCUUCGGCAAUGGGGGCAACCCUGACCGAGCAACGCCGCGUGAGUGAAGAAGGUUUUCGGAUCGUAAAGCUCUGUUGUAAGAGAAGAACGAGUGUGAGAGUGGAAAGUUCACACUGUGACGGUA